GGGGCUCAGGACGAACGCUGGCGGCGCGCCUAACACAUGCAAGUCGAACGAGCGAGAGAGAGCUUGCUUUCUCGAGCGAGUGGCGAACGGGUGAGUAACGCGUGAGGAACCUGCCUCAAAGAGGGGGACAACAGUUGGAAACGACUGCUAAUACCGCAUAAGCCCACGGUGCCGCAUGGCACAGAGGGAAAAGGAGCAAUCCGCUUUGAGAUGGCCUCGCGUCCGAUUAGCUAGUUGGUGAGGUAACGGCCCACCAAGGCGACGAUCGGUAGCCGGACUGAGAGGUUGAACGGCCACAUUGGGACUGAGACACGGCCCAGACUCCUACGGGAGGCAGCAGUGGGGAAUAUUGCACAAUGGGGGAAACCCUGAUGCAGCGACGCCGCGUGGAGGAAGAAGGUCUUCGGAUUGUAAACUCCUGUUGUUGAGGAAGAUAAUGACGGUACUCAACAAGGAAGUGACGGCUAACUACGUGCCAGCAGCCGCGGUAAAACGUAGGUCACAAGCGUUGUCCGGAAUUACUGGGUGUAAAGGGAGCGCAGGCGGGAAGACAAGUUGGAAGUGAAAUCCAUGGGCUCAACCCAUGAACUGCUUUCAAAACUGUUUUUCUUGAGUAGUGCAGAGGUAGGCGGAAUUCCCGGUGUAGCGGUGGAAUGCGUAGAUAUCGGGAGGAACACCAGUGGCGAAGGCGGCCUACUGGGCACCAACUGACGCUGAGGCUCGAAAGUGUGGGUAGCAAACAGGAUUAGAUACCCUGGUAGUCCACACUGUAAACGAUGAUUACUAGGUGUUGGAGGAUUGACCCCUUCAGUGCCGCAGUUAACACAAUAAGUAAUCCACCUGGGGAGUACGACCGCAAGGUUGAAACUCAAAGGAAUUGACGGGGGCCCGCACAAGCAGUGGAGUAUGUGGUUUAAUUCGACGCAACGCGAAGAACCUUACCAAGUCUUGACAUCCUGCGACGCACAUAGAAAUAUGUGUUUCCUUCGGGACGCAGAGACAGGUGGUGCAUGGUUGUCGUCAGCUCGUGUCGUGAGAUGUUGGGUUAAGUCCCGCAACGAGCGCAACCCUUAUGGUCAGUUACUACGCAAGAGGACUCUGGCCAGACUGCCGUUGACAAAACGGAGGAAGGUGGGGAUGACGUCAAAUCAUCAUGCCCUUUAUGACUUGGGCUACACACGUACUACAAUGGCGUUAAACAAAGAGAAGCAAGACCGCGAGGUGGAGCAAAACUCAGAAACAACGUCCCAGUUCGGACUGCAGGCUGCAACUCGCCUGCACGAAGUCGGAAUUGCUAGUAAUCGCAGAUCAGCAUGCUGCGGUGAAUACGUUCCCGGG
RNAcentral lists this ribosomal RNA (1338 nucleotides) under metagenome. Its description in RNAcentral is "bacterial SSU rRNA". It matches the Rfam family "Bacterial small subunit ribosomal RNA", at positions 19 to 1378 of the family's 1533-position model. The record is from RNAcentral.